UUACCCGCUGAACUUAA
Molecule: ribosomal RNA, 17 nt
Filed under: Mucor indicus
Lineage: Eukaryota; Fungi; Mucoromycota; Mucoromycetes; Mucorales; Mucoraceae
Also listed under: 5 other names
Description: partial 28S rRNA
Source: RNAcentral